UGUUUUUUUAUUGUUAUAUGAUGUAAUGUUUUUAAUAUAUAAUUAGUGUUUAAAAUAAAUAAUAUCAUAUGUUAUGGGAAUUUUGCAAAACUAUAAUAUAUGGGGUCAGAUUGUAAAUUUUAUAAUUAAAAGGUAUUUGUAUAUAAAAUAAAAUAUAAUAUUUCUAAGAAUAAUAUUUUUUAGAGUAGAAAAUAGAGAUAUACAUUGGAGAGAAACCCUUCUAUAAAAUAAAGUUACUCUAUUUUAGAGUAAGAUAUAGAGUUAUACAUUGGAGAUGGUCUUAGAAGUUAAAGCAUGUUAGGUUGAUUGCUUCUGUCUAAGUUUAUAUGUUAUGAUGAUGGUUCUAUAGCUUUAGAAAAUGUUCUAUGUUUCAGUGGACAGAGUUGAUUCCCCUCAUGAGUAUUCUUUACUCACCCUCUUUUUCUUGUUUUCCUCGGGUUAGUAGGGAAGAGGCAUGCUUUUCAAAGUACAUUAGUUCGAAUGAAGUAGGAUUGUUGAAAGAAAAAAGACGUGAGAAAAAGGAAAGAAGUUGAUCGUGUUUUAUAGAGAGUGUGAUAUGUUUUAAAUGCAAAAGAAAAAUAAUUGAAUGAUGUUUUGAACAAAGAGGUUUUAGGGAAUUUUUCUCUCUAUUAUUGAUCUAUUGAUAAGAUACAACAUCUAUAUAUGAUACAACAUUAGGGUUUAGGUUUAGAUAUCAACUUAUCUAGAGCCUUCUAGAAUAUACUAAUAGACCAUAUAAUGGGCAUCCACAUACUAUAUAAUAUUAAUCAUAACACUCCCUCUUGGAUGACCAUUAUAAAAAUAUAGUCUCAAAUGAGCAUGUAAGAUGAUGCUGCCUCAUUAAAAAACCUUACCAGAAAAAACCAUGGUUAAGGAAAAAAGAGUGCAGCGUGCUUCUACUCCCCCUCAUGAGUACAACACUAGAAAUCUUCAAGAUGCCGCGAUCCAAUUAUGAUGAACUAACUUCUUGAAAUAGUAGUUCGAAACGUCUUGGUAAAUAGGCUCGCCAAAUCUUCACUUGAACAAAUUUGUAGGGCACGUACAUCACCAUUCUUCUACAGUUCAUUGGUCUUAGAGGUGACUCAUCUUGAUCAUUAUCUAUACUUACCAUAAUCUCAUCAAUGUAUGGUAAAGACUUUGAAUAACAAUGGUCUUUCAUUAUUGGAAUCAAAAUAUUUCUCUUUAUGUGUCUAUCAUUUCUAUAUUCUUUGUUGUCUCCUUAAAAACCUUUCAUGGAAAACCCCAAUGGGAUAAAAACCAUGAUAAGGGAAAAAAAGUACAACUAUGCACAUAACGAUAUUUCUCCCCCUGAAAUCAUCAUCUUUAAGAUAUGCAUUCCAGUCAUAUAUAUCAUCUUUUAAGAAAUCAUUA
Molecule: small RNA, 1371 nt
Filed under: Arabidopsis thaliana (thale cress)
Lineage: Eukaryota; Viridiplantae; Streptophyta; Magnoliopsida; Brassicales; Brassicaceae
Description: ATSL042880
Source: RNAcentral